Molecule: ribosomal RNA, 397 nt
Filed under: uncultured bacterium
Lineage: Bacteria
Description: partial 16S ribosomal RNA
Rfam family: Bacterial small subunit ribosomal RNA
Source: RNAcentral
AUACGUAGGGGGCAAGCGUUGUCCGGAAUUACUGGGCGUAAAGCGCACGCAGGCUGACUUAUAAGUCGGUAGUCUAAUGCGGAGGCUCAACUUCCGUUUAUCUAUCGAUACUGUAAGACUAGAGUAUGUGAGAGGGCAGUGGAAUUCCUGGUUUAGCGGUGAAAUGCGUAGAGAUUGGGAGGAACACCAGUGGCGAAGGCGACUUACUGGACUGUAACUGACGCUGAGGCGCGAAAGUGUGGGGAGCAAACAGGAUUAGAUACCCUGGUAGUCCACACUGUAAACGAUGAAUGCUAGGUGUAGGGGGUAUCGACCCCUUCUGUGCCGCAGUCAACACAAUAAGCAUUCCGCCUGGGGAGUACGGCCGCAAGGUUGAAACUCAAAGGAAUUGACGGGG